UACGUAGGGUGCAAGCGUUAAUCGGAAUACUGGGCGUAAAGCGUGCGCAGGCGGUGAUGUAAGACAGAUGUGAAAUCCCCGGGCUCAACCUGGGAACUGCAUUUGUGACUGCAUCGCUGGAGUGCGGCAGAGGGGGAUGGAAUUCCGCGUGUAGCAGUGAAAUGCGUAGAUAUGCGGAGGAACACCGAUGGCGAAGGCAAUCCCCUGGGCCUGCACUGACGCUCAUGCACGAAAGCGUGGGGAGCAAACAGG
Molecule: ribosomal RNA, 252 nt
Filed under: uncultured bacterium
Lineage: Bacteria
Description: partial 16S ribosomal RNA
Rfam family: Bacterial small subunit ribosomal RNA
Source: RNAcentral